This 30-nucleotide non-coding RNA is filed under the name Mus musculus (house mouse). Lineage: Eukaryota; Metazoa; Chordata; Mammalia; Rodentia; Muridae. The record is from RNAcentral.
UACUAAGUGUCUCUUCAGAAUAUCAGAGGG